Molecule: non-coding RNA, 78 nt
Organism: Potamilus streckersoni
Lineage: Eukaryota; Metazoa; Mollusca; Bivalvia; Unionida; Unionidae
Source: the annotation of a GenBank genome assembly
GGUCCAGUGGCCUAGUGGUUAGAGCAUUCACCUCAGAUGUGGGAGAUUGUGGGUUCGAUCCCAGGUCGAGUUGUACCA